GACGAACGCUGGCGGCGUGCUUAACACAUGCAAGUCGAACGGAAAGGCCCUGCUCUUGCGGGGUGCUCGAGUGGCGAACGGGUGAGUAACACGCGAGUAACCUGCCCUUGACUUUCGGAUAACUUCAGGAAACAGGGGCUAAUACCGGCUAGGAGCUCCUGCUGCAUGGUGGGGGUUGGUAAGUUUCGGCGGUUGGGGAUGGACUCGCGGCUUAUCAGCUUGUUGGUGGGGUAGUGGCUUACCAAGGCUUUGACGGGUAGCCGGCCUGAGAGGGUGACCGGCCACAUUGGGACUGAGAUACGGCCCAGACUCCUACGGGAGGCAGCAGUGGGGAAUAUUGCACAAUGGGCGGAAGCCUGAUGCAGCAACGCCGCGUGCGGGAUGACGGCCUUCGGGUUGUAAACCGCUUUCGCCUGUGACGAAGCGUGAGUGACGGUAAUGGGUAAAGAAGCACCGGCUAACUACGUG
This 468-nucleotide ribosomal RNA is filed under the name uncultured bacterium. Its description in RNAcentral is "partial 16S ribosomal RNA". It matches the Rfam family "Bacterial small subunit ribosomal RNA", at positions 28 to 507 of the family's 1533-position model. The record is from RNAcentral.